RNAcentral lists this ribosomal RNA (301 nucleotides) under uncultured bacterium. RNAcentral's name for it is "partial 16S ribosomal RNA". It matches the Rfam family "Bacterial small subunit ribosomal RNA", at positions 509 to 807 of the family's 1533-position model. The record is from RNAcentral.
CAGCAGCCGCGGGAAUACGAAGGGGGCUAGCGUUGUUCGGAAUUACUGGGCGUAAAGCGCACGUAGGCGGAUAUUUAAGUCAGGGGUGAAAUCCCGCAGCUCAACUGCGGAACUGCCUUUGAUACUGGGUAUCUUGAGUAUGGAAGAGGUUAGUGGAAUUGCGAGUGUAGAGGUGAAAUUCGUAGAUAUUCGCAGGAACACCAGUGGCGAAGGCGGCUAACUGGUCCAUAACUGACGCUGAGGUGCGAAAGCGUGGGGAGCAAACAGGAUUAGAUACCCCGGUAGUCCCUGUCUCUUAUAC